Molecule: long non-coding RNA, 888 nt
Filed under: Volvox carteri
Lineage: Eukaryota; Viridiplantae; Chlorophyta; Chlorophyceae; Chlamydomonadales; Volvocaceae
Description: long non-coding RNA (VCAR_LNC004322)
Source: RNAcentral
UUUAGUUCCCCUAAAGGGGAUGAAGAAGUCCCCUUCGGGGAGGAACACCCCUUUGGUUCAUCCCCUUUAGGGGAACUAAAGAAGACGAACUAAAGAAGUUCCCCUUUAGGGGAAGAACACCAAAGGGGAAGAACCGAAGGGGAACACACCCCCCCUUCGUCUUCCCCUUUGGGGAACCCUUCGGUUCCCCUAAAGGGGACGAACACUAAAGGGGUUCCCCUUUAGUUCAUCCCCUAAAGGGGAACUUUAGUUCCCCUUUAGGGGAAGAAGAAGAGCACUAAAGUUCCCCUUUAGGGGAAGAACCCCAAAGUCUUCCCCCGAAGGGGGGGGGGGAAGUCAUCCCCUAAAGGGGAACCAAAGUCUUACCCUUCUUCCCCGUANGGGAGUUCAUCCCCUAAAGUUCCCCUUUAGGGGAAGAACUAAAGGGGUUCCCCUUUAGUUCCCCUUUAGGGGAAGAAGAGCACUAAAGUUCAUCCCCGAAGGGGAACAUCCCCUAAAGUUCCCCUUUAGGGGAAGAACUAAAGGGGAACUAAAGUUCCCCUUUAGGGGAAGAACUAAAGGGGAACUAAAGUUCCCCUUUAGGGGAAGAACUAAAGGGGAACUAAAGUUCCCCUUUAGGGGAUGAAGAACUUUAGGGGAAGACCAACGUUUGGUGCUCUGCACCUCUUAAACUAACGGACGUUGGCCUAUGUUAGGUUUGCUUUGUAGUUUUUAAACUAUCUCGGGGCUAGCCCCUUCCGAAAAACGGGCUUCGGCUAUAAUAACAAGCUCAUGGCGCUCUUGUCAUAUACCGUGCAACGUAAUUUGCUCUACGAUUUUAGUUUACACUUUUUCAAAAAAAUAAAAUCUAGCCAACUUUUGUAUAAAAAUCCAAUAUUUAUUAAGUAG